RNAcentral lists this ribosomal RNA (468 nucleotides) under uncultured bacterium. RNAcentral's name for it is "partial 16S ribosomal RNA". It matches the Rfam family "Bacterial small subunit ribosomal RNA", at positions 28 to 507 of the family's 1533-position model. The record is from RNAcentral.
GACGAACGCUGGCGGCGUGCCUAACACAUGCAAGUCGAACGGAAAGGUCCUGCUUUUGUGGGGUGCUCGAGUGGCGAACGGGUGAGUAACACGUGAGUAACCUGCCCCUGACUUUGGGAUAACUUCAGGAAACUGGGGCUAAUACCGGAUAGGAGCUCCUGCUGCAUGGUGGGGGUUGGAAAGUUUCGGCGGUUGGGGAUGGACUCGCGGCUUAUCAGCUUGUUGGUGGGGUAGUGGCUUACCAAGGUUUUGACGGGUAGCCGGCCUGGGAGGGUGACCGGCCACAUUGGGACUGAGAUACGGCCCAGACUCCUACGGGAGGCAGCAGUGGGGAAUAUUACACAGUGGGCGGGAGCCAGAUGCAGCAACGCCGCGUGCGGGAUGACGGCCUUCGGGUUGUAAACCGAUUUCGCCUGUGACGAAGCGUGAGUGACGGUAAUGGGUAAAGAAGCACCGGCUAACUACGUG